This 440-nucleotide ribosomal RNA is filed under the name uncultured bacterium. RNAcentral describes it as "partial 16S ribosomal RNA". It matches the Rfam family "Bacterial small subunit ribosomal RNA", at positions 338 to 795 of the family's 1533-position model. The record is from RNAcentral.
CCUACGGGAGGCAGCAGUGGGGGAUAUUGCACAAUGGGGGGAACCCUGAUGCAGCGACGCCGCGUGGGUGAAGAAGGGCCUCGGCGCGUAAAGCCCUGUCAGCAGGGAAGAAAAUGACGGUACCUGAAGAAGAAGCCCCGGCUAACAACGUGCCAGCAGCCGCGGGAAUACGUCGGGGGCAAGCGUUAUACGGAUUUACUGGGUGUAAAGGGGGCGCAGACGGCGUUGCAAGCCAGGAGUGAAAGCCCGGGGCCCAACCCCGGGACGGCAUUUGGAACUGCGUGGCUGGAGUGCAGGAGGGGCAGGCGGAAUUCCUGGUGUAGCGGUGAAAUGCGUAGAUAUCAGGAGGAACACCGGUGGCGAAGGCGGCCUGCUGGACUGCAACUGACGUUGAGGCCCGAAAGCGUGGGGAGCAAACAGGAUUAGAUACCCUAGUAGUC